Molecule: ribosomal RNA, 1239 nt
Filed under: Strawberry phylloid fruit phytoplasma
Lineage: Bacteria; Bacillati; Mycoplasmatota; Mollicutes; Acholeplasmatales; Acholeplasmataceae
Description: bacterial SSU rRNA
Rfam family: Bacterial small subunit ribosomal RNA
Source: RNAcentral
CUGCUAAGACUGGAUAGGAGAUAAGAAGGCAUCUUCUUAUUUUUAAAAGACCUAGUAAUAGGUAUGCUUAAGGAAGGGCUUGCGUCACAUUAGUUAGUUGGUAGGGUAAAGGCCUACCAAGACGAUGAUGUGUAGCCGGGCUGAGAGGCUGAACGGCCACAUUGGAACUGAGACACGGUCCAAACUCCUACGGGAGGCAGCAGUAGGGAAUUUUCGGCAAUGGAGGAAACUCUGACCGAGCAACGCCGCGUGAACGAUGAAGUAUUUCGGUACGUAAAGUUCUUUUAUUAAGGAAGAAAAGAUGGUGGAAAAACCAUUAUGACGGUACUUAAUGAAUAAGCCCCGGCUAACUAUGUGCCAGCAGCCGCGGUAAUACAUAGGGGGCGAGCGUUAUCCGGAAUUAUUGGGCGUAAAGGGUGCGUAAGCGGUUUAAUAAGUUUAUGGUCUAAGUGCAAUGCUUAACAUUGUGAUGCUAUAAAAACUGUUUGACUAGAGUUGGAUAGAGGCAAGUGGAAUUCCAUGUGUAGUGGUAAAAUGCGUAAAUAUAUGGAGGAACACCAUGAGCGAAGGCGGCUUGCUGGGUCUUAACUGACGCUGAGGCACGAAAGCGUGGGGAGCAACCAGGAUUAGAUACCCUGGUAGUCCACGCUGUAAACGAUGAGUACUAGACGUUGGGUUAAACCAGUGUCGAAGUUAACACAUUAAGUACUCCGCCUGAGUAGUACGUACGCAAGUAUGAAACUUAAAGGAAUUGACGGGACUCCGCACAAGCGGUGGAUCAUGUUGUUUAAUUCGAAGAUACCCGAAAAACCUCACCAGGUCUUGACAUGCUUCUGCAAAGCUGUAGAAAUACAGUGGAGGUUAUCAGUUGUACAGGUGGUGCAUGGUUGUCGUCAGCUCGUGUCGUGAGAUGUUGGGUUAAGUCCCGCAACGAGCGCAACCCUUGUUGUUAAUUGCCAUCAUUAAGUUGGGGACUUUAGCAAGACUGCCAGUGAUAAAUUGGAGGAAGGUGGGGAUGACGUCAAAUCAUCAUGCCCCUUAUGACCUGGGCUACAAACGUGAUACAAUGGCUGUUACAAAGGGUAGCUGAAGCGCAAGUUUUUGGCAAAUCUCAAAAAAACAGUCUCAGUUCGGAUUGAAGUCUGCAACUCGACUUCAUGAAGUUGGAAUCGCUAGUAAUCGCGAAUCAGCAUGUCGCGGUGAAUACGUUCUCGGGGUUUGUACACACCGCCCGUCAAA